CACUAGGAAGAAGGCUUAGCAUCCUCACCCUCCACCACCACUGAAAGCUCAUUUCCUCCGGCCAGGUGCUCGCCUCUGUUGCUAUCACAUAUGAUACUUUAAAUUGAUAGAACACACAAAGUCACAUGGGUGAUUCCUAAAUCUUACCAGAAAUGUUGACACUAACAUUUCCCUUUUUUUCUUCAGAAAUAAAGCACUUAUUUUAACCGUAGACUUUCCUGUUAGGAAUGGGAAAAUGUUGGCAGCAUUCCAGCUGGGCAGGAAUUGAAUUCUUGAAUCAGCAGGUCUCUGGUGAGAGUUUUCAUUUCAGAUCAGACAUUUAACUUCAUCAUUAUCCAAAACAGGGUGAGAGUUUUGCCUGAAAAAUAUUAUUCUAGAGAUGUUCUGAAAGUGAGAUUCCUUUCUCCCUGUGUCAAUUAUUGUUCCAGCGUCCACUGCUCCUCAUCUCUUUAUAGAUAACCAUUAGCAACUUGGUGAUCCUUCUCAGCUGAAUGAGAAGGCUUUGGGAGUUAACCUCAGCACUAUGGCCCUCUCACGAAUUAUAGCUUUGGUCAGGAGAGAGGAAGGACAAAGUUAAGAAGGCUAGUGGUGUGUUGUUUUAUAGUUCAUAGAACUCUUUCACACACCUUAAGUCACUGGAUUAGAAGAGUUCUCUCAUUUCCCAGUACCCUAUCUCCGUAUGGUUUGGGUCUUCAGAUUGAAGUGGGGAGGGCAUGGGGAGAUAAGAGAGAGGUCAGACCCCCAGCCUGUCCCUAACCAUUUUAAGUCCUCUGAACUAUAAUCCUGAAUCCAAAUCAUGCUGCACUUGUAAAUAGGGGCAAGUUAUACAUUUGAAA
RNAcentral lists this long non-coding RNA (836 nucleotides) under Bos taurus (domestic cattle). Its description in RNAcentral is "long non-coding RNA NONBTAT015958". Lineage: Eukaryota; Metazoa; Chordata; Mammalia; Artiodactyla; Bovidae. The record is from RNAcentral.